RNAcentral lists this ribosomal RNA (571 nucleotides) under uncultured bacterium. Its description in RNAcentral is "bacterial SSU rRNA". It matches the Rfam family "Bacterial small subunit ribosomal RNA", at positions 337 to 917 of the family's 1533-position model. The record is from RNAcentral.
UCCUACGGGAGGCAGCAGUCAGGAAUCUUCCGCAAUGGACGGAAGUCUGACGGAGCGACGCCGCUUGGAGGAGGAAGCCCUUCGGGGUGUAAACUCCUGAACUGGGGACGAAAGCCCUGUGUAGGGGGAUGACGGUACCCAGGUAAUAGCGCCGGCCAACUCCGUGCCAGCAGCCGCGGUAAUACGGAGGGCGCGAGCGUUACCCGGAUUUACUGGGCGUAAAGGGCGUGUAGGCGGCCUGGGGCGUCCCAUGUGAAAGGCCACGGCUCAACCGUGGAGGAGCGUGGGAUACGCUCAGGCUAGAGGGUGGGAGAGGGUGGUGGAAUUCCCGGAGUAGCGGUGAAAUGCGCAGAUACCGGGAGGAACGCCGAUGGCGAAGGCAGCCACCUGGUCCACUUCUGACGCUGAGGCGCGAAAGCGUGGGGAGCAAACCGGAUUAGAUACCCGGGUAGUCCACGCCCUAAACGAUGCGCGCUAGGUCUCUGGGUUUAUCUGGGGGCCGAAGCCAACGCGUUAAGCGCGCCGCCUGGGGAGUACGGCCGCAAGGCUGAAACUCAAAUGAAUUGACGGA